GGCGUGUGACUGCGUACCUUUUGUAUAAUGGGUCAGCGACUUAUAUUCUGUAGCAAGGUUAACCGAAUAGGGGAGCCGAAGGGAAACCGAGUCUUAACUGGGCGUUAAGUUGCAGGGUAUAGACCCGAAACCCGGUGAUCUAGCCAUGGGCAGGUUGAAGGUUGGGUAACACUAACUGGAGGACCGAACCGACUAAUGUUGAAAAAUUAGCGGAUGACUUGUGGCUGGGGGUGAAAGGCCAAUCAAACCGGGAGAUAGCUGGUUCUCCCCGAAAGCUAUUUAGGUAGCGCCUCGUGAAUUCAUCUCCGGGGGUAGAGCACUGUUUCGGCAAGGGGGUCAUCCCGACUUACCAACCCGAUGCAAACUGCGAAUACCGGAGAAUGUUAUCACGGGAGACACACGGCGGGUGCUAACGUCCGUCGUGAAGAGGGAAACAACCCAGACCGCCAGCUAAGGUCCCAAAGUCAUGGUUAAGUGGGAAACGAUGUGGGAAGGCCCAGACAGCCAGGAUGUUGGCUUAGAAGCAGCCAUCAUUUAAAGAAAGCGUAAUAGCUCACUGGUCGAGUCGGCCUGCGCGGAAGAUGUAACGGGGCUAAACCAUGCACCGAAGCUGCGGCAGCGACGCUGAUGCGUUGUUGGGUAGGGGAGCGUUCUGUAAGCCUGUGAAGGUGU
Molecule: ribosomal RNA, 672 nt
Filed under: Escherichia coli
Lineage: Bacteria; Pseudomonadati; Pseudomonadota; Gammaproteobacteria; Enterobacterales; Enterobacteriaceae
Description: partial 23S ribosomal RNA
Rfam family: Bacterial large subunit ribosomal RNA
Source: RNAcentral